Molecule: ribosomal RNA, 924 nt
Filed under: uncultured Bacillota bacterium
Lineage: Bacteria; Bacillati; Bacillota
Description: bacterial SSU rRNA
Rfam family: Bacterial small subunit ribosomal RNA
Source: RNAcentral
CAAGUCGAACGCGAAAGUUCCCUUCGGGGAGCGAGUAGAGUGGCGCACGGGUGAGUAACACGUAGGUAAUCUACCUUCGGAUUGGGAAUAACAACCGGAAACGGUUGCUAAUACCGAAUAAUGCAGCGGCACCUAAUGGUGACAGUUGUUAAAGCGGGGGAUCGCAAGACCUCGCGUCUGAAGAGGAGCCUGCGGCGGAUUAGCUAGUUGGUAAGGUAAUGGCUUACCAAGGCGAUGAUCCGUAGCCGGCCUGAGAGGGCGGUCGGCCACACUGACACUGACAUACGGGUCAGACUCCUACGGGAGGCAGCAGUCGGGAAUUUUGGGCAAUGGGCGAAAGCCUGACCCAGCAACGCCGCGUGAAGGAUGAAAUCCUUCGGGAUGUAAACUUCGCAAGAACGGGAAGAAUAAGUAAGAGUUAACAUCUCUUACGAUGACGGUACUGUUUGUAAGCUCCGGCUAACUCCGUGCCAGCAGCCGCGGUAAUACGGGGGGAGCAAGCGUUGUUCGGAUUUACUGGGCGUAAAGGGCGCGUAGGCGGCCACCGCAAGUCAGUUGUGAAAGCUCUGGGCUUAACCCAGAAAGGUCAACUGAUACUGCGGGGCUAGAGUGCAGAAGGGGCAACUGGAAUUCUCGGUGUAGCGGUGAAAUGCGUAGAUAUCGAGAGGAACACCUGCGGCGAAGGCGGGUUGCUGGGCUGACACUGACGCUGAAGUGCGAAAGCUAGGGGAGCGAACGGGAUUAGAUACCCCGGUAGUCCUAGCCUUAAACGAUGAAUGCUUGGUGUCUGGGGUUUUAUAGUCCCCGGGUGCCGUCGCUAACGCUUUAAGCAUUCCGCCUGGGGAGUACGGUCGCAAGACUGAAACUCAAAGGAAUUGACGGGGACCCACACAAGCGGUGGAGCAUGUGGUUUAAUUCGACGCA